UCACGCCCUCAACAUCUCAGCCUCUCUGCGCCUCUCUACCUCACUCGUCACUUCCCAUUUUCUUUCCUUUUCACUAACAUAUCCUUCAGUCCCAUCCUAUAUUCCUUUAAGACCAUUUUCUGACAAGUACUCAAAAUUAUACAAGUCUGCCAUAAAAAGUUACUCAAUUCUCCGUUUUCUGUGAAUCAAGAAGACAACGAGUGACGUCACAUUUCACCACGUGAGAGGCGGACAUCAAAACAUCCACAGUAACCAUGCAAUUGUGGAUGGCGGUGGUGGUGGUGGUGGUGGUGGUGGUAUCAAAGGCCAGGAGUAUUGAGGGAGAGAUCGCAGGAAUGGCCCCUUCCAGCCCCUCUCGCCCUGAAGGAAGCGCUCUAAAGGAUCUGAAGGAUGUUGAAGAAAGCAAGGAGGAAGGAAGGCUGUUUGGAUUCACUGGAAUAGGCGGAUAUGGUGGUGGUGGUGGUGGUGGUGGUUAUGGUGGUGGAAGAGUAAGCAAAUCAACUAAAGUAUACAGCUCCCUGGCAGUCACCGCCUUCUCCUCCUUCGUCGCCUACUCCAUCUACUACUACGUGACAAGCGGGGAGGACGCCAGAAGUCUCAUAACAUCUAUAUUUCAAGAUCCGAUAGCGAUUCAGAACCUGUUAAAGGGAGUUGAAUCCGCUAUACAAAGGUUCUCAGAGUUGCAAAAGGGAUCAAGGCAAUGGGAAUAGUGUUAUAGAUAAAAGGAAAGGUUUAGUGGCAUUUUCUUAGGAUUUAGAUGUUUAUUAUGUUGUUUUGUUGUUAUUUGUUGUAGGUUGUAGAGGUUGUGUUGUUGUUAUUGUUGUUUUUGUUGUUUUUGUUGUUUUGUUUUCAUUUCGUUUGUGGUUAGAUAGUUUGUUGUUGAUAGUAGUAGUAGUAGUUAUCGUUGUUGUUGUUGUUGUUAUUGUUGUUGUUGUUGUUGUUGUUGUUGUUAUAGCUAAAUCCUAUACAGGUUUUCGUUCUUUUAUCACGUAUACGUAAUAUUGUUCGUUCAAAGCAAUGUAUUCAAUAGAAAACGAAAGAAACAAUAAAAAGAAAAUAGCUAA
Molecule: long non-coding RNA, 1064 nt
Organism: Portunus trituberculatus (swimming crab)
Lineage: Eukaryota; Metazoa; Arthropoda; Malacostraca; Decapoda; Portunidae
Exons: 3
Source: RefSeq, a predicted model, not a curated record